AGUGAACGCUGGCGGCAGGCUUAACACAUGCAAGUCGAACGCCCCGCAAGGGGAGUGGCAGACGGGUGAGUAACGCGUGGGAAUAUCCCCUUUGGUUCAGGAUAGCCCCGGGAAACUGGGAGUAAUACUGGAUAAGAUCUACGGAUGAAAGAUUUAUCGCCGAAGGAUUAGCCCGCGUAAGAUUAGCUAGUUGGUGAGGUAAUGGCUCACCAAGGCUACGAUCUUUAGCUGGUCUGAGAGGAUGAUCAGCCACACUGGAACUGAGACACGGUCCAGACUCCUACGGGAGGCAGCAGUGAGGAAUAUUGGACGAUGGGCGCAAGCCUGAUCCAGCCAUGCCGCGUGAGUGAUGAAGGCCCUAGGGUUGUAAAACUCUUUUAGUUGGGAAAAUAAUGAUGGUACCAACAGAAAAAGCUCCGGCUAACUUCGUGCCAGCAGCCGCAGUAA
This 447-nucleotide ribosomal RNA is filed under the name uncultured bacterium. Its description in RNAcentral is "partial 16S ribosomal RNA". It matches the Rfam family "Bacterial small subunit ribosomal RNA", at positions 29 to 523 of the family's 1533-position model. The record is from RNAcentral.